Long non-coding RNA from Sebastes umbrosus (honeycomb rockfish), 162 nucleotides. RefSeq lists it as uncharacterized. The transcript has 3 exons. The record is from RefSeq and is a predicted model, not a curated record. NCBI's taxonomy places the organism in Eukaryota, Metazoa, Chordata, Actinopteri, Perciformes, Sebastidae.
UCUCUGUCCUCUCGGUCCCCUCAGUCUGGACAAGCAUGUUCAGAGACUGCAGAGCAGAGUAGGGUGCCUGUCCGUCCAACAUGGUCUCAGCUAUGAGCACUGCACAUCCUAAGGCCCAAAAGAAGAUAUUGUUUGUGUCCAAGACUUUAGUGUAUGAGAAAA